This 65-nucleotide transfer RNA is filed under the name Aposthonia borneensis. Its description in RNAcentral is "tRNA-Glu". Lineage: Eukaryota; Metazoa; Arthropoda; Insecta; Embioptera; Oligotomidae. The record is from RNAcentral.
UGAUAAAUAGUUUAAAUAAAACAAUAUAUUUUCACUAUAUAAAUUAAGUAAGCCUUAUUUAACUU